GACGAACGCUGGCGGCGUGCCUAAUACAUGCAAGUCGAACGCUUCUUUCCUCCCGAGUGCUUGCACUCAAUUGGAAAGAGGAGUGGCGGACGGGUGAGUAACACGUGGGUAACCUACCCAUCAGAGGGGGAUAACACUUGGAAACAGGUGCUAAUACCGCAUAACAGUUUAUGCCGCAUGGCAUAAGAGUGAAAGGCGCUUUCGGGUGUCGUUGAUGGAUGGACCCGCGGUGCAUUAGCUAGUUGGUGAGGUAACGGCUCACCAAGGCCACGAUGCAUAGCCGACCUGAGAAGGUGAUCGGCCACACUGGGACUGAGACACGGCCCAGACUCCUACGGGAGGCAGCAGUAGGGAAUCUUCGGCAAUGGACGAAAGUCUGACCGAGCAACGCCGCGUGAGUGAAGAAGGUUUUCGGAUCGUAAAACUCUGUUGUUAGAGAAGAACAAGGACGUUAGUAACUGAACGUCCCCUGACGGUAUCUAACCAGAAAGCCACGGCUAACUACGUG
Molecule: ribosomal RNA, 508 nt
Filed under: uncultured bacterium
Lineage: Bacteria
Description: partial 16S ribosomal RNA
Rfam family: Bacterial small subunit ribosomal RNA
Source: RNAcentral